Molecule: ribosomal RNA, 253 nt
Filed under: uncultured bacterium
Lineage: Bacteria
Description: partial 16S ribosomal RNA
Rfam family: Bacterial small subunit ribosomal RNA
Source: RNAcentral
UACGUAGGGUGCAAGCGUUAUCCGGAAUCACUGGGCGUAAAGCGUCUGUAGGUGGUGAUGCAAGUCACUGGUGCAAAACUCUGGCUCAACCGGAGGAAAGCCAGUGAAACUGCAUGACUAGAGUGUGUGAGAGGUAGAAGGAAUUCCCUGAGUAGCGGUGAAAUGCGUAGAUACAGGGAAGAACACCGGAGGCGAAAGCGUUCUACUGGAACACAACUGACACUGAGAGACGAAAGCUAGGGGAGCGAAUGGG